Ictalurus punctatus (channel catfish) is the source of this 486-nucleotide long non-coding RNA. The record is from Ensembl. Lineage: Eukaryota; Metazoa; Chordata; Actinopteri; Siluriformes; Ictaluridae.
AGAUUAUCCUCAACAAAAAAGAAAAACCCUGGGACUCUGGGUGGAGACCGAGACCACGGCUGUUUCUCAAUUCUAAGAACACCAAAAGAAGGGACUCGCGUUCUGGUGAAGACCGGUCUUGCCAGGCGACCUAGGAAGCACGAACUCGGAAGGACACAGAACGCAUCUUUGAUGAGCAGACCUGAGAAAACCAAGCACUGUUCCAGCACGACGAUGCUCCUGUGCACAAAGAGUGCGAGCUCCAUGAAGACACAGUGUGUGAAGGUUGGAAGAAGGUAGAAGAACUCGAGUGUCCUGUACAGAACCCUGACAUCAACCCCACUGACUCAUCACCUUUGGGAUGAACUGGAACUGGAGUCUCCUCACAUCAACAUCAGCGCCUGACCUCGACCUCACUAACGCUCCUGUAGCUGAACGAACACGAAUCCCCACAGCCACGCCCCAAAAUCUAAUGCAAAGCCUUCCCAGAAGAGUGGCGCGCAGGGU